AAAAAAAAAACUAUAAGACUGGGAUAACUUCGAGAAACCGGAGCUAAUACCGGAUAAUAUAUUGAACCGCAUGGUUCAAUAGUGAAAGACGGUUUUGCUGUCACUUAUAGAUGGAUCCGCGCCGCAUUAGCUAGUUGGUAAGGUAACGGCUUACCAAGGCAACGAUGCGUAGCCGACCUGAGAGGGUGAUCGGACAAACGGGAACGGAGACACGAUCUAGAGUCCUAAGGGAGGGAAUAGUAGGGAAUAUUCGCAAAGGGGCGAAAGCAGGACGGAGAAAUGGCGUUUGUUUUUUU
This 296-nucleotide ribosomal RNA is filed under the name uncultured bacterium. Its description in RNAcentral is "partial 16S ribosomal RNA". It matches the Rfam family "Bacterial small subunit ribosomal RNA", at positions 120 to 399 of the family's 1533-position model. The record is from RNAcentral.